This 1038-nucleotide ribosomal RNA is filed under the name Triticum aestivum (bread wheat). Its description in RNAcentral is "partial small subunit ribosomal RNA". The record is from RNAcentral. Lineage: Eukaryota; Viridiplantae; Streptophyta; Magnoliopsida; Poales; Poaceae.
AUGAACAAAGGGGAACACUCAGUGAAAAGUGCUUAUAAGCUUCAUGUGCAGCUGGGUAAGCAAGCUAGAAAUGGAGGGCUGGGGAGUAGCUCGAGUGUGGCUGGAAACCUGGAUGGGUGUGCUGAUGACUCGUGGAAGCAGCUAUGGAAGCUACCAUGCCCAAAGAACAUACAAAUGUUUGCCUGGCGGCGGCGGCAUGAGUCAUUGGCCCUCCGGACGAAUGUGGCGAGGAGGGGGGUGCCUAUAGCUGAUACUAAAUGUCUAUUCUGCGGCCGGGCGGACGAAGACGGUGCGCACCUAUUCAUCAAAUGCAAGUCUGUGAAGCCGGUGUGGCGGGAACUUGGCUUGGAGAAGGAACAAGCCCAGCUCGAAACCAUUACGUCGGUGCAUGUGAUGCUCGACUUUUUGUGGGGGCUAGAUGAAAAAGCUCGAGUUCUCAUUCUGACCUCAUGGUGGCUGUGGUGGCACAACAGAAACAAAUUGUGCGAGGGGGAGCUACCAAUGACGGCCAGUGCGGUGGCGGGCCGUGCACAAGCUCAUGUGAUUGAAUAUGCUGAGGCCUUUGCAUCUUCACCCAAGUCCAAGGGUGUUGCGAGCAGGUGGAUGCCGCCGGAGUCAGGUGUGAUAAAAAUCAAUGUAGAUGGGGCAUUCACACCGGGUGAUUCAUACGCAGGCUGGGGCAUGGUGGCAAGAGAUGAGUUGGGUCAUAUUGUGGGCGCCCGUGCUGGACGGCAGGAUCAUGUCGCCGACGCCUUCGGUGCCGAAGCAUGUGCUAUGUCGCAGGCUAUCUCGCUCGCUGCCGACUUGGGAAUGAUUCGGGUGGCCUUUGAGACAGAUUCCCAGCUUCUGACGGAUGCGCUAGACUUCCGCAGGGUGGACUCAUCGGCCUACGCAGUAGUGAUCGAGGAUUCCAAAUUCCAACUGAAGGUGUGGUUCUCGCACCAAAGUGUCAACGCCUGUAGCCGCAAUGUAAACACAGUAGCGCCUGAGGUAGCUAAGAUAGGUCGUUUGUGUUUACCAAACCAGUAUGUUGAGUGG